Megachile rotundata (alfalfa leafcutting bee) is the source of this 546-nucleotide long non-coding RNA. NCBI's taxonomy places the organism in Eukaryota, Metazoa, Arthropoda, Insecta, Hymenoptera, Megachilidae. The record is from RefSeq and is a predicted model, not a curated record.
GUUCCUUCAGAUGGUUCGACUAUUUUAACGCAGAAGCAACAUAACAGAUCCCAAUUCUGUGGUUUAUACACCGUUUGAAGUUAGGGCAUUGACGAUCGCGGUGUGAACAAAUGGGCUCUACCUUUUCGUCGCGAGGCGCAGGCGAGACUCCCGUAAGUUCCUGAAAUAGGGCAGCUUUAUCGCGUGCUCACACCAUGCACCGACGUAGAACAAUUUGAAUUGCUAUCCUUUCUUGGAGGAUCCAAAAUUGGUUGCGGACAUAAGUGAGCUGAAAGCCAGCAUGCAAGAGAUUUCGGAAAUUCUGUGUUGGCAAGCCGUCCCUUUGGACGGCUUAAUUCCUCCUUGUCAAGGAACAGAUGCCAGAACAUCAGAAGACUCGAUUUUGAAACGGUUCUGCCUUCCUUGAGGCACUUCAAUUCACUGGAAAAACCUCGUUAUAAACGUAGCCCAACCAGAAUAACGUGGAAUUCUGAAUCUCGAUCGGAUUAUUCUUACAAGGAACAUCAUCUAAUUGUUAUACAGGGUGUUACCUGUAACGCUACUCAC